AUGGCGCUCUCCGAACUCUCUCGCCAGUCGCUCCACCCCAGCUUCCUCUACUCCGCCGCCUCCUCCUUCACCGCCGCCUCCAGCCCCACCUCCCAGGCCCCUGUCGCGGCCCCUACUCCGGCCUUCGGCCAUGGCACUGGCGGCGGCAGGCCGUUCUCGAUCCAGUCCCCGAACGAGAAGAUCAAGAUGUAUUCUCCGGCCUUCUACGCCGCCUGCAGCGUCGGAGGAAUCGCCAGCUGUGGGCUCACCCACAUGGCCGUCACCCCGCUCGACCUCGUCAAGUGCAAUAUGCAGAAAUACAAGAGCAUCUCAUCUGGUUUCGGUGUAUUGCUAAAGGAGCAAGGAGCUAGGGGAUUCUUCAGGGGAUGGGGGCCUACCUUGCUGGGUUACAGCGCUCAGGGCGCUUGCAAGUUUGGGUUCUACGAGUUCUUCAAGAAGACCUACUCAGAUAUGGUUGGGCCUGAGAAUGCCAGCAAGUACAAGACCCUAAUUUACCUUGCAGGGUCUGCUUCUGCUGAGCUGAUUGCGGAUGUGGCUCUCUGCCCCAUGGAGGCUGUCAAGGUACGUGUGCAGACACAGCCUGGAUUUGCUCGUGGGCUUACUGAUGGGCUCCCCAAGUUCAUCAAAGCUCAGGGUGCUGCUGGGCUCUACAAGGGAAUUGUUCCUCUCUGGGGUCGCCAGAUUCCUUAUACCAUGAUGAAGUUUGCGUCCUUUGAGACCAUUGUUGAACAAAUCUACAAGCAUGCUGUUCCCGUUCCAAAGUCUGAGUGCAGCAAGCCUUUCCAAUUGGGUGUCAGCUUUGCUGGUGGAUACAUCGCUGGUGUCUUGUGUGCUGUUGUUUCUCACCCAGCUGACAACCUCGUCUCUUUUUUGAACAAUGCCAAGGGUGCUACAAUUGGUGAUGCUGUUAAACGGAUUGGUGUUACGGGCCUUUUCACCAGAGGUCUUCCCCUGCGAAUUGUCAUGAUCGGUACCCUUACCGGUGCUCAGUGGGGAAUUUAUGACGCCUUCAAGGUCAUGGUUGGGCUUCCAACAACAGGUGGUGUUGCACCAGUUCCUGCAGCAUCAGAAGAAGCUAAAGUCAUCGCUUGA
Molecule: ribosomal RNA, 1092 nt
Filed under: Triticum aestivum (bread wheat)
Lineage: Eukaryota; Viridiplantae; Streptophyta; Magnoliopsida; Poales; Poaceae
Description: partial small subunit ribosomal RNA
Source: RNAcentral